RNAcentral lists this ribosomal RNA (245 nucleotides) under uncultured Actinomycetales bacterium. RNAcentral describes it as "partial 16S ribosomal RNA". It matches the Rfam family "Bacterial small subunit ribosomal RNA", at positions 89 to 334 of the family's 1533-position model. The record is from RNAcentral. Lineage: Bacteria; Bacillati; Actinomycetota; Actinomycetes; Actinomycetales.
GCUCGAGUGGCGAACGGGUGAGUAACACGUGAGUAACCUGCCCUUGACUUUGGGAUAACUUCAGGAAACUGGGGCUAAUACCGGAUAGGAGCUCCUGCUGCAUGGUGGGGGUUGGAAAGUUUCGGCGGUUGGGGAUGGACUCGCGGCUUAUCAGCUUGUUGGUGGGGUAGUGGCUUACCAAGGCUUUGACGGGUAGCCGGCCUCGAGAGGGUGACCGGCCACAUUGGGACUGAGAUACGGCCCAG